Long non-coding RNA from Haliotis rufescens (red abalone), 2033 nucleotides. RefSeq lists it as uncharacterized. The record is from RefSeq and is a predicted model, not a curated record. The transcript is spliced from 2 exons. Lineage: Eukaryota; Metazoa; Mollusca; Gastropoda; Lepetellida; Haliotidae.
CUAAAUUGUCAAGAUCAAGCCGUGACCACGUGACACGCAUAUGGUAUAGGCAGCUCCCGUCUGCCAGGAACCGCAAUGCUAUAUAUUAAGCCGAGGAGCAUCACCACUCAGCACAGAGAAAGCUCGCUACGAGAGACAAGGCUUUUCACUUAAAGACAGGAUGUCCCGGCCGUUCAUUGUGGUUCUACUGUUCCUGCAGCUAAUGUUCCUCCGCAGCGGGUCCGCCAGACCGUCCGCCUGCGCUGACAAAGAAACGGACAUGAAGUGCUAUUACUGCAGCUCCCAUUACGACAAGCCGAAGAUAUACGAGGAGUGUUGCGUGGACAAAGAGCUCCGAACACACUGCUUCGAGCAUAUAUGGAUCGAACCAAAGAGGGACCGUCACUGGUGACACUGACGCUGAAAAUUGGUUCAUGAAAUAAGAUUCAAAAAUUAUUUUUUUUCUUUAAGGACUGUGUUCAAAUGAAAGCCAGCUUAACAGUGAGAAACAAUUCGAUUGAAUUUCUGGAUUGAAAACAAUGAACUUAUUCCUUUCGUCACCGCUCGGCCCUUGCCGUAACAUUCAUUCGACUUGACCCGGAGUGCCGCGAUGGGUUACGAAUGAACUUUUCAACAUUAAACACACGUGGAUGUUUGUUCAAUGACAGGAAACAAGCAGUGAAUGUGUGCAAAGGCGUGGUUGACCAAAAAAACAAUCUACAAAUUCUACAUGUUACCCGUGAACUUUGACCCUCAACUUUGACCCGAACAGUUCUUUCUUGAUGACCUUGAAUUUUUUGUGACUUGAUUGUUUCAACUUCAUUAAUUAUAUAAUGUUUUCGUGCUCUCUGCCGCUACACAAAGAUGUGAGGACAUUACAGGUCAAGUCAGAACGCUCUUUCAUCCGACCAAUCAGAUCGUCACUUACGAGAUCGUAAGAGUCCGAAUGUGUUUUCUAAUUAUGCAACUUCGUAAAGGUAAACGCGGAGCAUUCCGAAAGACACUUAUGGUCUGUACGACUGAUUCGAUAGGAUAAACGUUUGAAACAGAAGAGAUCUAGACUUUCCAUAGCCCUGAAAAGUUCAUCUGUAAGACAUUCCAGAAUGUUCUUUUGUUGACUUUUAAAAUUUUGAAUCGAGACGUUUGCAAAAAUAUUUUUCAUAGCGUAGUCUGGAAAGGAGGUAGUAGAGCUGCUCUCUGAUUGGCUGAUGUCGACCAUCUUUAGAUUUGUCGGUCAAAGUUCGCGAAAGUCGUUCUGAUGUGACCCGUAAAGGGGUGUCCUGAGAUCUUCGCGAAGCAGGGGCGAGCACUAAGAUCUGAUUAUGAUGAGAUUGGGAUUGUUUCUUUUGUCAAUUCCACAUUUGUCUGUCGUAGACAUCAUCUGCCAUUAUCUAAAUAAAUUUUUUGUAUACUGAAUUAUGAGACUUAUAUUAAAAACCUAUUCGUGGCUUGUUUACAUACACAUAUACUUGGCUUUGCCUCAAUAACAGUAAUGCAGAAAUCGUCGUGUAUUAUUAUCUUUAAGUAUAGGUGAAUGUGGUCUCUCUCUCUCUCUCUCUCUCUAGAUCCUUAAUUUAAUUUAUUUCACAGUUGUUUCCGCAUUUUAUGUCCCGAACAUUUUGCCAGCCAGUGUAGGCAGGUGUGUGUAAGAAACUAUCCUGUAUCUGAUAGUAAAAGGGGGCGGUCGAGUAGCCUAGUGGUUAAAGAGUUCAAUCAUCACGCCGAAGGCCCGGGUUCGAUUCCCCACAUGGGUACAAUGUGUGAAGCCCAUUACUGGUGUCCCCGACAAGAUAUUGCUAAAAUAUUGUUACGAGCGGCGUAAAACCAUACUCAUUCACUGUGAAAACCAUUGUCAUAACAACUGAAAGCGGUCUUGGAACGUAAAAUGAUGAAGAACUAAUACUCCUUUUGUUGUGGCCUAAUCCAGAUCCUCGUUAUACAGCGACGCUGAGCAUUGUACGCAUCAAGAUAUUGUAUUGUUGUUUGGCAUCAGCAAUCAAGUUAAUUUAAUUCCGAUGAAAUUAUCUAUAUCGAAAUAAAUUUGUUUUGAUUUA